This 578-nucleotide ribosomal RNA is filed under the name Stenotrophomonas sp. HRRP012. RNAcentral describes it as "bacterial SSU rRNA". It matches the Rfam family "Bacterial small subunit ribosomal RNA", at positions 102 to 676 of the family's 1533-position model. RNAcentral also lists the same sequence under 2 other names. The record is from RNAcentral. Lineage: Bacteria; Pseudomonadati; Pseudomonadota; Gammaproteobacteria; Lysobacterales; Lysobacteraceae.
ACGGGUGAGGAAUACAUCGGAAUCUACCUUUUCGUGGGGGAUAACGUAGGGAAACUUACGCUAAUACCGCAUACGACCUUCGGGUGAAAGCAGGGGACCUUCGGGCCUUGCGCGGAUAGAUGAGCCGAUGUCGGAUUAGCUAGUUGGCGGGGUAAAGGCCCACCAAGGCGACGAUCCGUAGCUGGUCUGAGAGGAUGAUCAGCCACACUGGAACUGAGACACGGUCCAGACUCCUACGGGAGGCAGCAGUGGGGAAUAUUGGACAAUGGGCGCAAGCCUGAUCCAGCCAUACCGCGUGGGUGAAGAAGGCCUUCGGGUUGUAAAGCCCUUUUGUUGGGAAAGAAAAGCAAUCGAUUAAUACCCGGUUGUUCUGACGGUACCCAAAGAAUAAGCACCGGCUAACUUCGUGCCAGCAGCCGCGGUAAUACGAAGGGUGCAAGCGUUACUCGGAAUUACUGGGCGUAAAGCGUGCGUAGGUGGUUGUUUAAGUCUGUUGUGAAAGCCCUGGGCUCAACCUGGGAAUUGCAGUGGAUACUGGGCAACUAGAGUGUGGUAGAGGGUAGUGGAAUUCCCGGUGU